GCCCAGGUGUUUAAAGGUGUGCUGCUCUCUGAGAUUUUGGGGCCGAGAGUGGGAACUCACAUUGAGAGCAUUGCUUUAUUUGUUUAUAGUUGAUUUAAUAGAGAGUUUAAUAGCAUGUUUAACAGAGCACAAAACAAAAGUAAUCCAACACUGGAAACUAGGAGGAGCUGAUCUGACUGGAAAGCGGACCAGCUACAGGCGGCGCACGGAAAAGUGGACACGCCAUUUUACUUUCUUUUGUCUUUAUUAAUUUAGCUUGUUUUAGUUUAUUGUUGUAACCUGGAACCCAUGAGGGCAAAGGGUGAAGAUGGUCAUUUAAUUUAUUUUGUGUUUGUAUGAAUGCGUUCUCUCUCUCCAUGCGGCAACCAACAGUGUUUCCCGAAACUGCCGCAUCGCCCUCCCAGUGGUGCCACGCUGUCGUGUGACAAAUGGAUUAUUAGUGAUGAAUAGUUGUUUGUCAUCUUUUCAUUACCUCAGAAAAAUGUCCAUUUAAGUCCAUUUAAGAUGGAGCAGAUAAAGUGAAAACCAUUCUUGUUUGGCAAAUUUAUGGGCAGUUGAGUCUCCCGAAUGCUCACAAGUCAGCAGCAUAUCAUGUGAUGGUACCUGUGACACCCUCAUCUCGAGACACGUCUUAGCGGUGACCCCAUUUACCCUGGCUGGAUGACACAUUGCAGCAUUGUAUUAAAACAAGGAUCCAAGGAGGGGGGAGGUCACUUUGACUUAUGAGUUGUAUUGGUGUCAAAAAAGCGCAGCGUCAGUGCCUGUCGCUUCAAUUCAUUCAAGUCAAAGCUUUUUUUCUUGAAAACUUUGCUGACAGAAAAGAAGAAAGCCGAAUGACACAAGGAGACUGUAAAUGCAUAAUGAGGACAUUGAAGAGGAGGAAAAUCAAAUGUUGUACACUGUUGUUUGUCCUUGUCACACAGCCAAGAUGGAGACACAAAGAAUAGCAUUAUCUAGUUCACAGUUAAUAUAACUUUUGGCAAACCCACUUAACUGUACUGGUGCCUUUUGUUUUUUUUCUGCAAUCCACUGGUUUUGCAGUUGCCUUGGUUUGUACAAAUAAUAAUAAAUGAACUUUAAUGAACUAGAAUAAAUACAAAUCUUGCUCACCAAAGUUUUUGACAAUUUACUUUCUUACUGCAAUUGCCACUGCAGUGGAAUUGUACACAUGGGCUAGUAAUAAUUACAGUAAUCUUCUGUGUGUGUCUGAAAGA
Molecule: long non-coding RNA, 1214 nt
Organism: Anguilla rostrata (American eel)
Lineage: Eukaryota; Metazoa; Chordata; Actinopteri; Anguilliformes; Anguillidae
Exons: 2
Source: RefSeq, a predicted model, not a curated record